AGAGUUUGAUCCUGGCUCAGAACGAACGCUGGCGGCAGGCUUAACACAUGCAAGUCGAGCGCCCCGCAAGGGGAGCGGCAGACGGGUGAGUAACGCGUGGGAAUCUACCCAUCUCUACGGAAUAACGCAUGGAAACGUGUGCUAAUACCGUAUACGUCCUUCGGGAGAAAGAUUUAUCGGAGAUGGAUGAGCCCGCGUUGGAUUAGCUAGUUGGUGGGGUAAAGGCCUACCAAGGCGACGAUCCAUAGCUGGUCUGAGAGGAUGAUCAGCCACACUGGGACUGAGACACGGCCCAGACUCCUACGGGAGGCAGCAGUGGGGAAUAUUGGACAAUGGGCGCAAGCCUGAUCCAGCCAUGCGGCGUGAGUGAUGAAGGCCCUAGGGUUGUAAAGCUCUUUCACCGGUGAAGA
Molecule: ribosomal RNA, 410 nt
Filed under: uncultured bacterium
Lineage: Bacteria
Description: bacterial SSU rRNA
Rfam family: Bacterial small subunit ribosomal RNA
Source: RNAcentral